Molecule: ribosomal RNA, 520 nt
Filed under: uncultured Glomus
Lineage: Eukaryota; Fungi; Glomeromycota; Glomeromycetes; Glomerales; Glomeraceae
Description: SSU rRNA
Rfam family: Eukaryotic small subunit ribosomal RNA
Source: RNAcentral
AGCAGCCGCGGUAAUUCCAGCUCCAAUAGCGUAUAUUAAAGUUGUUGCAGUUAAAAAGCUCGUAGUUGAAUUUCGGGGUUAGUAGGUUGGUCAUGCCUCUGGUAUGUACUGGUCUCACUGAUUCCUCCUUCCUGAUGAACCUUAAUGCCAUUUAUUUGGUGUUUUGGGGAAUUUGGACUGUUACUUUGAAAAAAUUUAGAGUGUUUAAAGCAAGCUAACGCUUGAAUACAUUAGCAUGGAAUAAUGAAAUAGGACGUUCGAUCCUAUUUUGUUGGUUUCUAGGAUUGACGUAAUGAUUAAUAGGGAUAGUUGGGGGCAUUAGUAUUCAAUUGUCAGAGGUGAAAUUCUUGGAUUUAUUGAAGACUAACUACUGCGAAAGCAUUUGCCAAGGAUGUUUUCAUUAAUCAAGAACGAAAGUUAGGGGAUCGAAGACGAUCAGAUACCGUCGUAGUCUUAACCAUAAACUAUGCCGACUAGGGAUCGGAUGAUGUUAAUUUUUUAAUGACUCAUUCGGCGCCUU